Long non-coding RNA from Scophthalmus maximus (turbot), 768 nucleotides. RefSeq lists it as uncharacterized. The record is from RefSeq and is a predicted model, not a curated record. Lineage: Eukaryota; Metazoa; Chordata; Actinopteri; Pleuronectiformes; Scophthalmidae. The transcript has 3 exons.
CUUAUGUAGUGCUGUAAAGAAAAAACAAUGGGUGGUCAGGAUUCAUAACGACAUACUCAAGUUACAAAGACGGAUUAAUACGUUGCACGGUAUCUGCUUUGAUCUUUGUGCUCCUGAUCAACCCUGUCGGUUCGUCUCGGAUUAUUCCUUCGGACUGUUCCCGUGUCUGUGUUUAUGGCUCCUGUGUGCAACUUGUCCCUGUCCUCUUCCAGUCCACGUCGUGCCUAAGUGAUUUUUUGCACGUACCUUGUAGGUCUCGGGCAGACACUCAAUCAUGUCUAUUAUGGGACAUUGCUGGCUUGAGCCAGGUAUGAACAGUCUCAACGCCUCGUCGCAUCUGGGAGAAGAAAUACUGAAAUCAAUCUUAAAACCUUUUUCAGUAACAGUAGACAUUAAAAAAUCAUGUCCUUUGUGAUGUCCCUCAAGACUUUUUCAAAGAUAAUGAUGGCAUCAAUCCAAACUGUUUCCAGCCGGAAUGAACGAUGGUAUUGGUCGCGUUAUACCUCCGCACAUGGUGAAUUGAAACUGUUGACUCUCUGGCAGAAAGCAUGUAAUUCAAAUUGGGUCAUUUCGAAUCUUUAUCAGAGGGGGUGUGUUAUAUCUUAUGGGUUGAGGAAGUUCUCCUGCUCCUUAAAUCCAAUAAACAAUUAAAAACCCAUCAGAAUACUUGAAGAAAUGCAUGGUGGCGAAGCUGACAAAAGGCUUGUUUGACUUAAAUGAAAUGUGAAUAAAAAAUUGCUAUUUCAUGGAACAGCAUUGCGGGAUAAA